GGCUGGUUAGCUCAGUUGGUUAGAGUGCAGUGCUGUUAAUGCUAAGGUCCAAGGUUCGAUCCCUGUACUGGCCA
This is a non-coding RNA of Cynocephalus volans (Philippine flying lemur), 74 nucleotides long. NCBI's taxonomy places the organism in Eukaryota, Metazoa, Chordata, Mammalia, Dermoptera, Cynocephalidae. The record is from the annotation of a RefSeq genome assembly.